Molecule: ribosomal RNA, 269 nt
Filed under: uncultured bacterium
Lineage: Bacteria
Description: partial 16S ribosomal RNA
Rfam family: Bacterial small subunit ribosomal RNA
Source: RNAcentral
CGGUGUGUUUAACACAUGCAAGUCGAGCGAGUCUUCGGACUAGCGGCAGACGAGAGAGUAACACGUUGGUACCUGCCCCGUACUCAGGGAUAACUACUCGAAAGAGUAGCUAAUACCGGAUAGCCUCGAAAGAGUAAAGCUUUUGCGGUACGGGAGGGACCUGCGGCCUAUCAGCUAGUUGGUAAGGUAAUAGCUUACCAAGGCGAUGACGGGUAGCUGGAUUGAGAGAUCGAUCAGCCUCGAUGGGACUGAGACGCGGCCCAUACUCC